This 723-nucleotide long non-coding RNA is filed under the name Falco tinnunculus (common kestrel). RNAcentral describes it as "lncRNA (ENSFTIG00000000699.1)". Lineage: Eukaryota; Metazoa; Chordata; Aves; Falconiformes; Falconidae. The record is from RNAcentral.
UUUUAAUCUUUGCGCUCUUUCUCUGUCCCUGAGGCCUCUUUUUGCUGGGGGAGGAGCAAAACAAAGGUAUGGUUGUUGCUCCAGCUCGCAGACCUGCGCUGGCUUCACUCCAGCUACUGUGGGUCAUAGGAGCAGAAGAGAUAUGGAGGCAUGGCCUGACAACAGCCCAGCAACCAGAAGGCAUUUCAGCGGUGACCUCAGGUUUAGAGCUCAGUGUGCCAUACAAAGCCCACGGGCACACCAGCCCAGGCAACACAUGCUACAUGCUGCCGAGAGGACAGCCUGCGUGGGACAGGGCACCUGGGAUAGCUGAGCACACUCCUGUACGCCGCAGAGCCACGACGGCUGCAGUGAGAUGGGAUGGCUGCAGGAAGAAAUGGAUACAUGCAUGAGCACGGACGGAAAAGGCUGGGAGAGGAGAACACGGGUCCACAUAAGCAGACUGCAACUGUGAUGGAUAUUUCUCAGGCUAUCCAUUACAGAACAAUUACCAUGCAUUUAGUCUUCUCUCUUCCUCUCCAAAAAUCAGCAGCUGAAAUAAAAGCCACCAAGAGCUAUCAAAAUGGUUCUAUCAGAAGCUGGGAUAAGGAUAAAAUACCCUUUGGGGACUGCACCUUGGCUCUUGUGGGCAGGUCACAGAGCAACUCUGGGGAUGCUGCAGGAGGCUACUCCAGCCAAAGAGCCUGCAGGUGCCCUCCUAUUUUGGCAGCAUCCUUCCUGUAA